CAGCCGCCGCGGGAAUACGUAGGUGGCAAGCGUUGUCCGGAAUUAUUGGGCGUAAAGGGCUCGCAGGCGGUUUCUUAAGUCUGAUGUGAAAGCCCCCGGCUCAACCGGGGAGGGUCAUUGGAAACUGGGAAACUUGAGUGCAGAAGAGGAGAGUGGAAUUCCACGUGUAGCGGUGAAAUGCGUAGAGAUGUGGAGGAAUACCAGUGGCGAAGGCGACUCUCUGGUCUGUAACUGACGCUGAGGAGCGAAAGCGUGGGGAGCGAACAGGAUUAGAUACCCGAGUAGUCCCUGUCUCUUAUAC
RNAcentral lists this ribosomal RNA (301 nucleotides) under uncultured bacterium. RNAcentral describes it as "partial 16S ribosomal RNA". It matches the Rfam family "Bacterial small subunit ribosomal RNA", at positions 509 to 807 of the family's 1533-position model. The record is from RNAcentral.